GAGAGGAUUGGACUAAGAUGACUUCUACAUCUGUGAUCUUAUGAAAAAUGAGCAAGUAUUUCCUGAAUUUCAUUAGGAGAGUAAUACAAAUAAGGAACAUUAUCCUGAUUCUUCUUCCAUUUUUACUGUGUUGGAUUUUCAUCUCUUCCAUGGGACAGACCCACAGUGCCAGGAAAACAUUGAAAGAUUUUGAGCAGGGGAUUGAGGUCUGGCAGCAUUCUAGUCCACGGGCGUGAGUGCAGCCUAAGGUAUACAAGAGGCUUCUCUAGGUUGGUACAGCAUGUUCCUGCUCAAAUGGUAGGCAGCCUCAGAAAGCCACAUUGAUGGAUGAGGAUUUAUCUGUUGCUAGCAGAAAAUUCCAUUGGCUCGACUCAUUUAAUAGAUAAGAAAAACUAAGGCCAGGAAAGGACUGCCUGAGG
Vombatus ursinus (common wombat) is the source of this 419-nucleotide long non-coding RNA. RefSeq lists it as uncharacterized. The record is from RefSeq and is a predicted model, not a curated record. The transcript has 5 exons. Lineage: Eukaryota; Metazoa; Chordata; Mammalia; Diprotodontia; Vombatidae.